RNAcentral lists this unclassified non-coding RNA (683 nucleotides) under Hevea brasiliensis (rubber tree). The record is from RNAcentral. Lineage: Eukaryota; Viridiplantae; Streptophyta; Magnoliopsida; Malpighiales; Euphorbiaceae.
AGCGUCUGCACUAGGCAGACUCCAUAUGGGGAUGAUCUUUUACUAGUCAAGUCGAGGAAUGAAUGCCUGUUAAGGACUUGAUUAGCUGAUCUGCCAUAGUAGGGUUCCAUCCUCAAGCUAUUAUCAGCUUGGGAAAGGACGAAUUCGCUUCAUUUUGAAGUAGGCGCGCUAUGGAAUUGAAUGCUAGUGUGUCCACAAAAAGGACAAUGAACCCUAGGAAGACAGAUAUUGGAGGUAAACCCUUCAUACUCAUCAUUUGUGGCAGCCUCGUUUACUACCACUGUGCCUAUCGGAAUUCUAGUCUUGUCUCUCUCAUCUCAGACGUCUUUAUUGUACUCCUUUGUUCCCUUGCCAUUCUCGGACUCCUCUUUCGCCAGAUGAACAUCUCGGUACCUGUGGAUCCGCUUGAGUGGCAGAUCUCUCAGGACGCUGCCAACAUGUUUUUUGCCUGCCUCGCCAAUACCGUUGGUGCUGCUGAGUCUGUUCUACGUGUUGCUUCUACUGGCCAUGAUAAGCGCUUGUUCCUUAAGGUUGUGGCUGCUCUGUAUGUUCUAUCAUCUCUGGGAAGGAUAGCUUCGGGUGUUACCAUUGCGUAUGCUGGUCUCUGCUUUCUUUGCCUUUAUAUGCUCGCUGAGAACUUGCAAUUGAUUAGCUCGAGGUAUCCUAGGAGAAGAGACAGCACA